GUCCACGCCGUAAACGAUGGGUGCUAGAUGUUGCUGGUAUUGACCCCGGCAGUGUCGUAGCUAACGCGUUAAGCACCCCGCCUGGGGAGUACGGCCGCAAGGCUAAAACUCAAAGGAAUUGACGGGGGCCCCGCACAAGCGGUGGAGCAUGUGGUUCAAUUCGACGCAACGCGAAGAACCUUACCUGGGUUGGAACCCUCCAGAAGUCCGAAGAGAUUUGGAUGUGCCCGCAAGGGAACUGGAUGUCCAGGUGCUGCAUGGCUGUCGU
Molecule: ribosomal RNA, 268 nt
Filed under: uncultured bacterium
Lineage: Bacteria
Description: partial 16S ribosomal RNA
Rfam family: Bacterial small subunit ribosomal RNA
Source: RNAcentral